RNAcentral lists this ribosomal RNA (563 nucleotides) under uncultured bacterium. RNAcentral describes it as "partial 16S ribosomal RNA". It matches the Rfam family "Bacterial small subunit ribosomal RNA", at positions 355 to 1376 of the family's 1533-position model. The record is from RNAcentral.
UGGGGAAUCUUGCGCAAUGGGCGAAAGCCUGACGCAGCCAUGCCGCGUGGAUGAUGAAGGUCUUAGGAUUGUAAAAUCCUUUCACCGGUGAAGAUAAUGACUGUAGCCGGAGAAGAAGCCCCGGCUAACUUCGUGCCAGCAGCCGCGGUAAUACGAAGGGGGCUAGCGUUGCUCGGAAUUACUGGGCGUAAAGGGAGCGUAGGCGGACAUUUAAGUCAGGGGUGAAAUCCCGAGGCUCAACCUCGGAACUGCCUUUGAUACUGGGUGUCUUGAGUGUGAGAGAGGUAUGUGGAACUCCGAGUGUAGAGGUGAAAUUCGUAGAUAUUCGGAAGAACACCAGUGGCGAAGGCGACAUACUGGCUCAUUACUGACGCUGAGGCUCGAAAGCGUGGGGAGCAAACAGGAUUAGAUACCCUGGUAGUCCACGCCGUAAACGAUGAUUGCUAGUUGUCGGGGAAAGCUUGCUUUUCGGUGACGCAGCUAACGCAUUAAGCAAUCCGCCUGGGGAGUACGGUCGCAAGAUUAAAACUCAAAUGAAUUGACGGGGUCAUAGCUGUUUCCUG